ACACUUAUCUGGCAGGGGAGACUCCUUGAUCAUGAAGAAGGUUUUCCCAGGAUGAGGCUCAGCCAUUGCACUCUGCCUGUGCUGACCCCUGCGAUUUCCCCAAACGUGGGAAACUCGACUGCAAAAUUUGUAUAGUGCGGGACUGCAUGAAUGCUUUACCCUG
This 163-nucleotide small nuclear RNA is filed under the name Salvator merianae (Argentine black and white tegu). Its description in RNAcentral is "U1 spliceosomal RNA (ENSSMRG00000022994.1)". It matches the Rfam family "U1 spliceosomal RNA". Rfam says of the family: U1 is a small nuclear RNA (snRNA) component of the spliceosome (involved in pre-mRNA splicing). Lineage: Eukaryota; Metazoa; Chordata; Lepidosauria; Squamata; Teiidae. The record is from RNAcentral.